Mesocricetus auratus (golden hamster) is the source of this 1435-nucleotide long non-coding RNA. RefSeq lists it as uncharacterized. The transcript is spliced from 2 exons. Lineage: Eukaryota; Metazoa; Chordata; Mammalia; Rodentia; Cricetidae. The record is from RefSeq and is a predicted model, not a curated record.
AUAGCCGACUUCCAUGUACCGGGGCUCCACGAGGCCGGGCCGGGAAACGAUGAUGUAGAAAUACCGCAGCGAGUGCGAGCCUGGGUGUGGCGCAUGCUGUCUGUCCCGCACUCACACUCGCAGUGAUGACACAGGAGCUGAUGAGAGCAGGAAGAUGGAUGUGCAUGGUGUGGACGGUGGAUCUGAACACUGAGUGGACCCUGAGCACCUCAGCCCUAUGCAGUGUGGACAGUGGAUCUGAACACUGAGUGGACCCUGAGCACCUCAGCCCUGUGCAGUGUGGACAGUGGAUCUGAACACUGAGUGGACCCUGAGCACCUCAGCCCUGUGCAGUGUGGACAGUGGAGCUGAACACUGAGUGGACCCUGAGCACCUCAGCCCUGUGCAGUGUGGACAGUGGAUCUGAACACUGAGUGGACCCUGAGUACUUCAGCUCUGGACAGGGGUGGACACAGGGCAGAGGAUGAUUCUUGUGCCAGGUGGCAUAGACUGGCAGGACAGAGAUUUCAUUAGGCAGAAAGGUCAAAAUCUAAUAUGCAAUGUCACUUUUAUCUGUCAUGUGUGACUUGAUAUUUUCAGACCUCAGCUAAACAAAGGUCACUAAAACUGUGGAAAGUGCCCUCCACAGAGGCACAGGGUUUAUCCAGGAUACAGACUUCUGGGAUUCACAAUCACGAGGACCAGAAUCCUGACCCAUCUUCCUGAAGUCACUCCAUGCUGUCACUUUUAACCACUAUGACUUUCAUUGUUUUCCUAUUAUUUCUGUCCCCAGCCCCUGCCUUCUGCAGAGGCCAUGACCUCAAACCACACAACUCAGCCCUUGGUGAUGACUGCAAACUCUUCCUGCCCUGACUCCUGCCGUGCAGGCUGUGCUUUCUCAGCCACUGCACUUAUGGUUCAAGUUAACAAUUUCCUCCAUACACAGCUUUCCUCUUUUUAUUAUUGCUGUUUUAUGUACGUAUUUAUUCAUUCAUUUUUGAGGUAAGGUCUCACUAAGUAACCUUACCUGACCUGGAACUGUCUAUGAAGACUAAGCUGGCCUGCAAACUACUUGCUAUUGCCUCCCAAGGGCUGGCAUUAAAGGCAUGCAUCACCACACCUAUUCCCAAACCCAUUCUCUGUGGAACCCCUGGCAUGGUGAACUUGUGACUUCCUGCAUUCUCCUGACAGCAUGUACUAAAGUCCUAUCUUCAUGCCUUCUUGCCGGUGGUGAAAAAGGUCUUGCGGAAGGCAGGCUUUUGAACAAACUCCUAUUUUGUAUUAAGGUCACAGGAAAGUCCACUCUGUGGGCACUUUCAUCAUGCAAGCCCACACUUCUAUUAGAUAAAAAGAACCCCCCUCUGACUCUCCAAUUCCAGGGCCACAUACAGUGCCUCAGGCAAGUGCCCUUGUCAUGUCUGAGAAAUCUCUAAUAAACAGUGUCCAUUCAAUCCCA